GAAAAUAAGAGCGUAUGGUGGAUGCCUAGGGUUUCGAAGACGAUGAAGGACGUGGCGUGACUGCGAUAAGCAUCGGGGAGGUGUCGAGCAACCUUUGAUCCGGUGAUUUCCGAAUGGGGUAACCUAAUUCGAGUAAUGUCGAAUUGCUUUCCGAGUAACUUCGGACUGCGUGCACCUGGGGAAGUGAAACAUCUCAGUACCCAGAGGAAAAGAAAACAAUCCCGCGGAAUGCGGGACAUUCCCUAAGUAGCGGCGAGCGAAAGGGGAAAAGCCCAAACCUCGCUUCACUAUUCAGGAAUUUAUUUUUGAUUAGUGGGCGGGGGGUAGUAAGAAAAAGACUUUCCGGAGCGUAUAGCUAUGUUCCUGGAAGGGAGUUUAGAAAUAUAGAAGUUGUUUAGGGGAACGGCCCUGGAAAGGCCGGCCAAAGAGGGUAAUAGCCCCGUACUUAAAAAACCUUUUAUGCUCCUUGUCUUUUUUCUUGAGUACUUCGAGAACAAGAUAAGCUCGGAGGAAACAGGGAGAACUACUCUCCUAAGGCUAAAUACUUCGAAACACCGAUAGUGAACUAGUACCGUGAGGGAAAGGUGAAAAGCAGCCCGGUGAGGGCGGUGAAAUAGUACCUGAAACCAUAUGCUUACAAGGACUCGGAGCCCGUUCACGCGCAAGCGUGUUCAGGGUGACGGGGUGCCUAUUGAAGAAUGAGCCAACGAGUUAUAGUACGCUGCUAGUCUAAUUCCGUUAUAGCGGGAGGAGGCGUAGGGAAACCGAGUCUUAAUAGGGCGUUUGCAGUUUGCUAUAGACCCGAAGCCAGGUGAGCUACCCCUGGCCAGGAUGAAUCCCGCCGAAAGGCGGGAGGAGGUCCGCACCGGUUAGUCGUACAACGCUAUCGGAUGAGUUGGGGGUAGGAGUGAAAAGCUAAUCGAACCUGGGAAUAGCUGGUUCUCUCCGAAAUAGCUUUUGGGCUAGCGUCCGCUACAACUACGCAGGUAGAGCUACUGGAAGGUUCGUAAAGGGAGAAAUCUCGACGUACCUACCAAACUCCGAAUGGCGUAGCUUUGGGCGGCCAGUCAGACUACGGGGGCUAAGCUCCGUCGGUCGAGAGGGCAACAGCCCAGAUCUCAAUCUAAGGCCCCAAAAUCUCUCUUAAGUGUAAGUGAGGCGGUGAGGUUUCAAUGACAGCGAGGAGGUUGGCUUAGAAGCAGCCAUCCUUCAAAGAGUGCGUAACAGCUCACUCGUCAAGAGACCUUGCGCCGCAGAUAAUCGGGACUAAAGAGAGUGCCGAAGGUGAGGCUCCGCUAACAUUUGAAAUAUUAAUGUAAAGCGGGGGGUAGGAGAGCGUUCCUAGUGCAGUGAAGUCCACGGCGUGAGCCGGGAUGGAGCGCUGGGAAGUGAGAAUGUUGGCACAAGUAACCACAAUGCCGGUGAAAAACCGGCACGCCGCAAACCUAAGGUUUCCUUGGCAAUGAUUGUCAGCCAAGGGUUAGUCGGUCCUAAGCCAAUGGCGAAAGCCGCAGGUAAUGGACACACGGUUAAUAUUCCGUGACUUCCUUCUUUUUCGAUGAAGGGACGAAGGUUAGUAUGUUCUGCGUGUUAUUGGAUUCGCGUUUGUGCGAUGAGGAGUGUCCCGUAGAAAAUCUCGGGACGGCCUUUUGGCAACUCUUAGUCGAGCAAAAAUUUUCCGCCUCGGCGGAGGAAAUGGAACAAAGCAGCCUUCCUAGAAAAGCUUCUAAGAUUAUGAAGAGGGAAACCGUACCGAAAACCGACACAGGUGGGUGAGGCGAGUAGCCUCAGGCGAACGAGUGAGAGAUCCUCAAGGAACUCGGCAAAAAAGCGGCCGUAACUUCGGAAUAAGGCCUCCCCGCCAACGUAUAGAAAUAUAUGGCAGGCGGGGCGCAGCGAAAGUACCCCUGGCGACUGUUUAUCAAAAACACAGCUCCCUGCGAACUCGUAAGAGGAUGUAUAGGGGGUGACGCCUGACCAAUGCGAGAAGGUUAACGAUGGCGGUCCUUCGAUUCGAUACUGCGUAUCUCACUCAGGAUAAAUCCUGGAUUUCUAGGGUUUACCCCGAGCGAGGUGCAUAGCACCGAGUCGAGGGGCUGACUGUCCGAAGCCCUCGUCAAUGUCGGCCGUAACUAUAACGGUCCUAAGGUAGCGCAAUUCCUUGUCGGGUGAGGAAGUUGCCCGAUGCGGCAGCGAUGCCGCAAUGAAACACCGGCUUAUAACGGUGAAGUUCUCGCUGGAGUUUGAGUAACAAGGCUCAAGCAAUGAAGGCAGGAUAAUACCGUGGGAAGUCGUCCCGACCAUAGCGUCGAGAUUGACCCCGUAACGACUUAGGUCGCCGUUAAUCAAUGGCGACCUAGAUAGAUUUGUAGUAUAAUGAAUCUAUAACAUGCCGGCUCUCAACAAAAAGAGAAAUUAUCGCGAGUAUAUAUCUGGAUAUGUAGAUGGUGAAGGAAGUUUUUGUGUAUCUUUCUCAAGACGAAAGAAAUUCUUGGUAGGAUGGGAAACCAAACCAAGUUUAUCUAUAAGUCAGAAUGAAGAAAGGGCCAACGUCCUUUAUCUCAUACAGAAAACUCUUGGGUGCGGAUUUAUGCGACGAGAUCUUUCGGAUAAGACUCUUAAAUAUGAAGUAAGAAGUCUUAACGAUUUGAUCGACCGCGUAAUACCACAUUUCGAGAAGUAUCCGCUCUUGUCUCCAAAGAUAAAAGAUUUUUAUCGAUUCAGACAAGUUUGCCGCCUUAUGAAGAAAGGGAAACAUCGAAGAGUGUCAGGAUUAAAAAAGAUAGUCAUGAUUGCUUGCAAAAUGAAUCCAAGCGGCAAAAGAAAAUAUAGUCAAAAAGAUAUUCUCAAGACGUUGAGAUGAAGAUAUAGUCUGUGCCAUUAGAAAUAGUGGAUUAACAUGGAGUUCCGACGCGCACGAAAGGCGUAACGACUGGGGGACUGUCUCGAGGAUUCGCUCGGUGAAAAUACAAUACCGGUGAAGAUGCCGGUUAGGUGCAGUUAGACGAAAAGACCCCGGAAGCUUUACUGCAACUUGAUAUUGGGUAUGAAUUUUUUAUGCGUAGCAUAGUGGGGAGACUUUGAAGUCCUGCUCUCGGGCGGGACGGAGUCACCAGUGAAAUACCCAUCUUAAAGGACUUAUAUUCUAACCUCGACGGAGAAAACGUUUGGGGACAGUGUCUGGUGGGCAGUUUGUGUGGGGCGCAACCCUCCUAAAAGGUAACGGAGGGGUUUAUCAAGGUCGGCUUAGCGCGGAUGGAAAUCGCGCUGGACCUGUAAGAGGACAAGCCGGCUUAACUGCGAGGCGGUCAGGCCGAGCAGAUGCGAAAGCAGAAUCUAGUGAACCGACCAUUCGGUGUAGGACCGGUGGAAGAUUAACGGAUAAAAGCUACUCCGGGGAUAACAGGCUAGUUCCGCCCAAGAGUCCAUAUCGACGGCGGAGUUCGGCACCUCGAUGUCGGCUCAUCUUAUCCUGGGGGUGGAGAAGCUCCCAAGGGUUUGGCUGUUCGCCAAUUAAAAAGGUACGUGAGCUGGGUUCAGACCGUCGUGAGACAGGUUGGUCUCCUAUCUACUGCACUCGUUGAUUCUUGAGGGGGGUUCUUCCUAGUACGAGAGGACCGGAAGGAGGCGACCUCUGGUCUACCUGCUGUUCCGCCAGGAGCACCGCAGGGUAGCUAUGUCGUUGAGUGAUAAGCGCUGAAAGCAUCUAAGCGCGAAGCACGCCCCAAGAUUAGGAAUCGUUAUCAGAUCCGUGGAAGACUACCACGUUGAUAGGCUCCAGGUGUAAGAUCCGCAAGGAUUUCAGCCGAGGAGUACUAAUAGAUCGAGCCGUCUUG
This 3836-nucleotide ribosomal RNA is filed under the name Candidatus Giovannonibacteria bacterium RIFOXYD1_FULL_48_21. RNAcentral describes it as "bacterial LSU rRNA". It matches the Rfam family "Bacterial large subunit ribosomal RNA". Lineage: Bacteria; Candidatus Giovannoniibacteriota. The record is from RNAcentral.